Molecule: ribosomal RNA, 431 nt
Filed under: uncultured bacterium
Lineage: Bacteria
Description: partial 16S ribosomal RNA
Rfam family: Bacterial small subunit ribosomal RNA
Source: RNAcentral
AACGAACGCUGGCGGCAGGCUUAACACAUGCAAGUCGAACGCCCCGCAAGGGGAUUGGCAGACGGGUGAGUACCGCGUGGGAACAUACCCUUUCCUGCGGAAUAGCUCCGGGAAACUGGAAUUAAUACCGCAUACGCCCUCCUGGGGAAAGAUUUAUCGGGGAAGGAUUGGCCCGCGUUGGAUUAGCUAGUUGGUGGGGUAAAGGCCUACCAAGGCGACGAUCCAUAGCUGGUCUGAGAGGAUGAUCAGCCACAUUGGGACUGAGACACGGCCCAAACUCCUACGGGAGGCAGCAGUGGGGAAUAUUGGACAAUGGGCGCAAGCCUGAUCCAGCCAUGCCGCGUGAGUGAUGAAGGCCUUAGGGUUGUAAAGCUCUUUCACCGAUGAAGAUAAUGACGGUAGUCGGAGAAGAAGCCCCGGCUAACUUCGUG